Molecule: long non-coding RNA, 4835 nt
Filed under: Triticum aestivum (bread wheat)
Lineage: Eukaryota; Viridiplantae; Streptophyta; Magnoliopsida; Poales; Poaceae
Description: long non-coding RNA (TAES_LNC016264)
Source: RNAcentral
GGGUGACAACUUAAUUGUUUGAAGUGUAUUGUUACCAUUUACACAAAAAUGAAGAGAUGGUUUGAACAGUGGGCAAAAAGGGAUCUUCAGACAUCAAACAAGGUUUCUAAAUCGACCAAAACAAAAAUUCACAGACUAAGAUAACAUCAUCCAUUAGCUGUCAAAAACAUCUCAUCACUUCUCCUUUUUCUCCGCGGGGACAACCUUCUUCAUCCGGGCUCCCAGCUGGUGCUGGUUCAUCAACUCGACACGGAACUUCUUGCCGCCGUGAGUGAUGGGCAUCUAAUCGCCCUGGCCCCCUGGAUGGCUGUAGCAAGCUCCUCUGUUAGAAUUGAAUCACCAGGCUUGGAGCAAGAGAGGUGUAAACACGGAGAAAAACAAUACAAAGCUCACUAAUAAUAGGUUGAUGGUAUUUCUUAUACACAAACUGAAACUAAUGACUGCUAGAAUUCCACCAUUCAACCGAUGUUACAAGCACCUGAAGACAUUAUUAUUCCAAAUAACACCACCGUAACUGAAGCAACCAACAAACUAAACUCUAGAACAUCAAAGGACAAUCAGAUUAAUCCUUCUCUGAAGCUCGCAUGAUAGAAAUGCCAACUUCUAACCUAGUUCAAAGAUACUGUAUAUAAUAGAUUGGCAUCGUUAUGUCUAAUAUGCAAUAAAUUAUGCAACAAAUAGAAUCCAAUAAAUCCAGUAAAUCUAAUUUUCAUUCUUCUAUGUAUAUUAGUUUUUUAGAUUUAAGAGGAGAAAUAUUUCAUGAACAUUUAAAGUCAUCAUGCUUUGAAUUAGACGACACAAGCAUUAGAACUGCAUUUGCUCGAUCCUUGAGUGAGACCUUUCUACUCCCAAGAAAAGAAGAAGAGAAGAAAAGUGUAAUCUGGAUGUGGCAUCAAUAGCAUAGCUAGAAAGUAUAUAUAUAUGCAGUUGUUCAAGACUGACUAACCAUUUUGCAUUGAAGUUUGCAAAUAAAUCAUUUUCAUAUUUGAACAAGGGGACUUGUAAACCUCAGGAACAGACGUUUCUUUAAGAUUUAACAAAUAGCAGCAGAAACUCUGCAUGAAAGAAACAAUUCUGAUGCACUGAGAUAAACAACUCCAAUGUACUUGUUGAUAUGAAGGUGAUCGAGUAGAUAGACUGACACAGACAACAGUAAGCAUACCUCUUGUCAAUCUGCACUUCAGAGCCUAGUUACUUUUUGAGCCAAUAUAUGCAUCAACUCAGGAUCCUCCGCUGUAUAAACCUGGUAUCACGAAGAAAGGCAACAAUAAGCAUACCUCUUCUCAAUCUGCACUUCGGAGCCUAGAUUUUGUAUCAAUCUCAAUAUGAAAACUGAAGCAAUAUACAUUGGCAUACCAGGAAGAAAGGCAACAAUACCCAGCAACAAAUAGGCCAUACACCUGAGAGCUGUCAGCAUCCAUGUGACCUUGAAACUGCAUAAGGAAAUAUCAUAGCAAAAGUUUAAUAUUGUCUGAUAGGACACAACAGCCAUGUAUCUUUCUAAGAAAGUUGACAAUCAGCUUGUAAACAAAAUACCUUGCUAGUUGCAAAACAACCUUCGGUAUCAUCUUUGUAUCAUUAUGUAGCAAAGGUCCCUACUUUAUAUUAGCCUAACAAACCUGCCGAAGCUAUCUGCACAACUCCACAAAAAUCAGAAAGAAUUAAGAGAAUUAGUAUUAAAAGGAGAGCAGUAUGCCUACAAGGAUGAAAUAAUAGGAUGGAUUGACAUGAACUACACACGCAUUAGUACCUGCAGUUCAAUAUCCCAAUGCCCUUAAGAAUUUCUACUACUCCUGAUCUGAAAGUGUUCAACUUAACCAAAUAGAUUGUUACUUAUCUUUGGCUCUGAACAAUACUGACUUAUAAACAGUUAUAAGCAUCAAAUUUCAAAGAAUCACAGAUCAACAAGUUGCUGGCUGAUCUGUCGUACAUGUAUUUAUUUUUUCAACGGUAUGCUUGCCCUUGGGACAAAGCUUUGAAUUGGCUAGCAUAAAUAUGUAAUAGUCUAUGUGAAGCAAUAAACUGGGAAUUAGAAGAAAAAAAUCAACUGAAAAUUAUGUCUUAUGAUUUGAUAUAGCUUAAAAAGGAUCCACUUUAUGAGUUGAAACAAAGCACGUGAAUGACAUAGUCACAAAGAUACGUCCGCCAACCUUCUUCCUCCCAGUAGACAUGGAAAUUAGUAGUCACCCAUCUAGGAUUAAGUAAAUAAAAAGAAAGAUGGAAAAGAGAGAGCACCUUUGAUGAACACAGACAACCAAGCAGCUUCCCCUUGUUCUCGUCUUGGCCGGCACUACACCUCUUCCCGGUCGGCAACCUGGAUGAGCGACAACCUGGCCGGCACUACGCCGAACGAUACAGCUACCCGCAGCUCACGCUGCUCAGGCCAACCGCACAUAGACCACGAACGCUGCACCACAUCCUGGGCCGCUGUCCCAACAUGUCGUCCAACAGUCCCGACUGGGGCGCAUUGACGGAGCUGACAACCUUGCUGCUUCCGCACUUCAAGGUCCUCACCCAAGCCAUGCCGACAAGCAGCCCUACCUCUUGGAGCUGUCGUCGCAGUACUGCCCGAGGCCGCAGCCUCGACACUUAAUAGAAGAUCCCGGAGCCGCAGCCCCGACAUACACCGCCUUUGAAAACGAAAGAGCCCCACACGACAUCCAAAGGCUGGCCCUCCAAGGCAACGCCUCUGAAGAUGGUUACGACGUAAACGCCGCCGCCACCCACUCCAGAAAACUGGAGUUUAGGUUCUCACCCGGAGAACCCAAGCACAUGAAAGGAUAGGAAGAUGUCUAUGACUAUGCCUCUAAGAAGGUCACGGAGCUUUCGCCUGAGCCCCUGAUCUCCUAUCAGUGAGCUUGCUUGCAAAUCUGGUCACGCAACAAUACCCAGACCAUCAGAGCCAAGCACAUUGUGUAGGGCACCCCCCUGCCGUCAGCCGGCAUAGCCCUCACGCGAGGACUAGCUGCAGCAACUCAUGCGACAUAGAAACAACGCGGUUGCCAGGGUCAGAUCUGAGUGCAUCGCUCCAAAUCCACCAUCAGCCCGAGGCCGCUGCCCCAGCAUUCUCUGGCGCCGCAACCACCGGCUACCCCGCUGCAGAUCCACGAAACCAGGAGAACAACGUCAUCAAUCUACAGAGCAGCACAGUCACACCUCCCGCCGCGAAGAAACGCACAACGCCCAUAUGUCCUCCCUCGCGCAUGCUAGGCGCCAGAUCCACGCCCACCUCGCACCUCCGCCACGGACCAACGCACCCAGCCGGCCGGAGCACCUCUACGCCUUACUUCGCCAGCGCACAUGCCAGAUUGGCUCGCACCCUGGCCGAACCCGCGGUCACGCGCACCAGCGCGCCAUGUCGCCGCCAGCUCGCCCUCACCAAUAAAUAUAAAUGAAAAGUGAAAUUAUGUAGUCUUAAUUGCACAAUCAAAUCAUCCUCAAGCAAAUAAAGAGGUAGUUGUUCAUCUAAGGCUGCAUACCUAGUAGUUCGAAAUUGGAAGCACUUAGAAAUAAGCAUAACAUAUCAGAAACACAAUUUUCUUUUCUAUCAGCGAUCUCCCCACAUGAAAAGAAGAUAGUAUGCUCAAAAAUCAUUAUUCGUCACAAAGGAUGUAUUUAACUAAAAUGCAUAAGACCAAACAAUGCACAAAAAUGGUAAUAGUAGGCAUAAUUGUUAUCCGAGUAGUGCUAACCAGAAACUACGUACGUCCAUUGUGUCGAUCAUCCAUACGUUCGGAUAAAAUAUAAUUUGGUCGAACCAAGAAAUAAAAUGAAAAACAUUUUUUACUUAUGCUAACAGACUACCUUGAGUUUCCAUAUUCCUGCAAACUCGUGAAUAAUGUUUCCUUUUCUCUUCUCUUUGUAAGACUAAUUCGCAAAUUCCAUCUGGUACUAAUUAAAACAUAUAGAAAUACCAUGAGAAUACUCGUACAUGUCUAAAAUACCAAUUGCAAACUGACCAAAGGCCUAGUAGCACAAGUAUGUAAAUUGGUAUCAAGGAGAACUUAUGCAGCAAUUGGUGCAGACUAAUCCUAUAUAAUUAAAACAGUUAACUUCCCGUGUCCAGUACAGUCAAUAAAGUAUCACGUUCAAGACAAAUCUGAUAUAGUGUGAAUAAAUUAAUAAGUAAAUCAAUAUGGUGCAUACUCUAAAAGGUCAGAUCUUUGAUGUCGUAGAAGUUACUAAUCUUCUGCUCGUUUCAAAAAUCCCUACAGAAAAAAAGGAAUACAUUUCAAGCUCCAGCAUGAACCAGCAAUUUAUUAUGUGAAAUACGUUCUUAUCGGCAAUAGAUAUUUUCAGAUCAAAGAAUAGUAUCCAAUCUUAUAAGUAACUCUAUAUCAUGAAACUCCCACUCAUAGGUGUUAAUAUGAGACCUUCAUGAAAUAGAUCUAAACCGAGGGUAGUAUUUCAUAUCAGUUAUUUUACAAUAUGAACUUGAUACUAUUACUAUCAUCGACGGCAAAACUGACACAAUUUAUUUUUAUAAAAAAUAACCAUAAGGAAGGCCAUACAUCAGUGCCAGCAAAAAUAUGAUCAUAUACCCAGCACAAACUUAUAUGCCCAACAAAACCGCAACCCCAAUCAUACAAAAGAUCAGAUGGGCUGAUCCCUGAGAUCGAGAAGAUAUCCUAUUCUUCGCAGCUGCAAUUGUUUGCCAUCCAAACUGGUGGGCCUAAUUAUAGGCAUGUAAAUAGUCCUAACAUGUAUUUUUCAUAGCAGCAUCAGGUAUGACUGAACUUUCUUAAAAAUAGCUCGCAGCAUGCUAAGUUUACCAAACCAACAUACAAAUGAAAUAUUAGAAAAGUCUACAGGACAAUUUUUACCUUGAUGAUUAG